This 460-nucleotide ribosomal RNA is filed under the name uncultured bacterium. RNAcentral's name for it is "bacterial SSU rRNA". It matches the Rfam family "Bacterial small subunit ribosomal RNA", at positions 28 to 507 of the family's 1533-position model. The record is from RNAcentral.
GACGAACGCUGGCGACGUGCCUAACACAUGCAAGUCGAACGGAGUAAUUUCUUCGGAGAUUACUUAGUGGCGAACGGGUGAGUAACGCGUGAGGAACCUGCCUUUCAGAGGGGGACAACAGUUGGAAACGACUGCUAAUACCGCAUAACGCGUAGAGGUCGCAUGGCCUUUACGCCAAAGAUUUAUCGCUGAAAGAUGGCCUCGCGUCUGAUUAGCUAGUUGGUGAGGUAACGGGCCCACCAAGGCGACGAUCAGUAGCCGGACUGAGAGGUUGAACGGCCACAUUGGGACUGAGACACGGCCCAGACUCCUACGGGAGGCAGCAGUGGGGGAUAUUGGACAAUGGGGGCAACCCUUAUCCAGCGACGCCGCGUGAGGGAAGAAGGUUUUCGGAUUGUAAACCUCUGUCAGUGGGACGAUAAUGACGGUACCCACGGAGGAAGCCACGGCUAACUACGUG